Molecule: ribosomal RNA, 1035 nt
Filed under: Talaromyces sp.
Lineage: Eukaryota; Fungi; Ascomycota; Eurotiomycetes; Eurotiales; Trichocomaceae
Description: SSU rRNA
Rfam family: Eukaryotic small subunit ribosomal RNA
Source: RNAcentral
GCACUCUUUUACUGUGAAACUGCGAAUGGCUCAUUAAAUCAGUUAUCGUUUAUUUGAUAGUACCCUACUACAUGGAUACCUGUGGUAAUUCUAGAGCUAAUACAUGCGCAAAACCCCGACUUCGGAAGGGGUGUAUUUAUUAGAUAAAAAACCAAUGCCCUUCGGGGCUCCUUGGUGAUUCAUAAUAACUUCACGAAUCGCAUGGCCUUGCGCCGGCGAUGGUUCAUUCAAAUUUCUGCCCUAUCAACUUUCGAUGGUAGGAUAGUGGCCUACCAUGGUGGCAACGGGUAACGGGGAAUUAGGGUUCGAUUCCGGAGAGGGAGCCUGAGAAACGGCUACCACAUCCAAGGAAGGCAGCAGGCGCGCAAAUUACCCAAUCCCGAUACGGGGAGGUAGUGACAAUAAAUACUGAUACAGGGCUCUUUUGGGUCUUGUAAUUGGAAUGAGAACAAUCUAAAUCCCUUAACGAGGAACAAUUGGAGGGCAAGUCUGGUGCCAGCAGCCGCGGUAAUUCCAGCUCCAAUAGCGUAUAUUAAAGUUGUUGCAGUUAAAAAGCUCGUAGUUGAACCUUGGGCCCGUCCUGCCGGUCCGCCUCACCGCGAGUACUGGUCCGGAUGGGCCUUUCUUUCUGGGGAAUCCCAUGGCCUUCACUGGCUGUGGCGGGGAACCAGGACUUUUACUGUGAAAAAAUUAGAGUGUUCAAAGCAGGCCUUUGCUCGGAUACAUUAGCAUGGAAUAAUAGAAUAGGACGUGCGGUUCUAUUUUGUUGGUUUCUAGGACCGCCGUAAUGAUUAAUAGGGAUAGUCGGGGGCGUCAGUAUUCAGCUGUCAGAGGUGAAAUUCUUGGAUUUGCUGAAGACUAACUACUGCGAAAGCAUUCGCCAAGGAUGUUUUCAUUAAUCAGGGAACGAAAGUUAGGGGAUCGAAGACGAUCAGAUACCGUCGUAGUCUUAACCAUAAACUAUGCCGACUAGGGAUCGGGCGGGGUUUCUAUGAUGACCCGCUCGGCACCUUACGAGAAAUCAAAGUUUUUGGG